This 793-nucleotide ribosomal RNA is filed under the name uncultured archaeon. RNAcentral describes it as "bacterial SSU rRNA". It matches the Rfam family "Archaeal small subunit ribosomal RNA", at positions 85 to 876 of the family's 1478-position model. The record is from RNAcentral.
ACGGCUCAGUAACACGUGGAUAACCUGCCCUUGGGUCCGGCAUAACCCCGGGAAACUGGGGAUAAUACCGGAUAACGCAUAUAUGCUGGAAUGCUUUAUGCGUAAAAUGGAUUCGUCUGCCCAAGGAUGGGUCUGCGGCCUAUCAGGUAGUAGUGGGUGUAAUGUACCUACUGGCCAACAACGGGUACGGGUUGUGAGAGCAAGAGCCCGGAGAUGGAUUCUGAGACAUGAAUCCAGGCCCUACGGGGCGCAGCAGGCGCGAAAACUUUACAAUGCGGGAAACCGUGAUAAGGGGACACCGAGUGCCAGCAUCAUAUGCUGGCUGUCCGGGUGUGUAAAAUACACCUGUCAGCAAGGGCCGGGCAAGACCGGUGCCAGCCGCCGCGGUAACACCGGCGGCCCGAGUGGUGAUCGUGAUUAUUGGGUCUAAAGGGUCCGUAGCCGGUUUGGUCAGUCCUCCGGGAAAUCUGACGGCUCAACCGUUAGGCUUUCGGGGGAUACUGCCAGGCUUGGAACCGGGAGAGGUAAGAGGUACUACAGGGGUAGGAGUGAAAUCUUGUAAUCCUUGAAGGACCACCAGUGGCGAAGGCGUCUCACCAGAACGGAUCUGACGGCAAGGGACGAAAGCUAGGGGCACGAACCGGAUUAGAUACCCGGGUAGUCCUAGCCGUAAACGAUACUCGCUAGGUGUCGGCCACGGUGCGACCGUGGUCGGUGCCGUAGGGAAGCCGUGAAGCGAGCCACCUGGGAAGUACGGCCGCAAGGCUGAAACUUAAAGGAAUUGGCGGGGGAG